AUCCCAGCGGUGCCUCCA
This 18-nucleotide non-coding RNA is filed under the name Oreochromis niloticus (Nile tilapia). Lineage: Eukaryota; Metazoa; Chordata; Actinopteri; Cichliformes; Cichlidae. RNAcentral also lists the same sequence under 1 other name. The record is from miRBase by way of RNAcentral.